Oncorhynchus keta (chum salmon) is the source of this 858-nucleotide long non-coding RNA. RefSeq lists it as uncharacterized. NCBI's taxonomy places the organism in Eukaryota, Metazoa, Chordata, Actinopteri, Salmoniformes, Salmonidae. The transcript is spliced from 3 exons. The record is from RefSeq and is a predicted model, not a curated record.
ACUGUUAGCAGGUGGGAUAGAAGGCUACACUGACCAUAGACUGUUAACAGGGGGGAUAGAAGGCUACACUGACCAUAGACUGUUAACAGGGGGGAUAGAAGGCUACACUGACCAUAGACUGUUAACAGGGGGGAUAGAAGGCUACACUGACCAUAGACUGUUAACAGGGGGGAUAGAAGGCUACACUGACCAUAGACUGUUAACAGGGGGGAUAGAAGGCUACACUGACCAUAGACUGUUAACAGGUGGGAUAGAAGGCUACACUGACCAUAGACUGUUAACAGGGGGGAUAGAAGGCUACACUGACCAUAGACUGUUAACAGGGGGGAUAGAAGGCUACACUGACCAUAGACUGUUAACAGGGGGGAUAGAAGGCUACACUGACCAUAGACUGUUAACAGGGGGGAUAGAAGGCUACACUGACCAUAGACUGUUAACAGGGGGGAUAGAAGGCUACACUGACCAUAGACUGUUAGCAGGGGGGAUAGAAGGCUACACUGACCAUAGACUGUUAACAGGGGGGAUAGAAGGCUACACUGACCAUAGACUGUUAACAGGGGGGAUAGAAGGCUACACUGACCAUAGACUGUUAACAGGGGGGAUAGAAGGCUACACUGACCAUAGACUGUUAGCAGGGGGGAUAGAAGGCUACACUGACCAUAGACUGUUAACAGGGGGGAUAGAAGGCUACACUGACCAUAGACUGUUAACAGGUGGGAUAGAAGGCUACACUGACCAUAGACUGUUAACAGGGGGGAUAGAAGGCUACACUGACCAUAGACUGUUAACAGGGGGGAUAGAAGGCUACACUGACCAUAGACUGUUAACAGGGGGGAUAGAAGGCUACACUGACCAUAG